AGUGAACGCUGGCGGCAGGCCUAACACAUGCAAGUCGAGCGGCAGCGCGUCCGACCACCCUCGGGUGGUCGGAUGGCGGCGAGCGGCGGACGGGUGAGGAAUGCAUCGGAAUCUGCCUCGUUGUGGGGGAUAACGUAGGGAAACUUACGCUAAUACCGCAUACGACCUACGGGUGAAAGUGGGGGACCUUCGGGCCUCACGCGAUGAGAUGAGCCGAUGCCGGAUUAGCUAGUUGGCGGGGUAAAGGCCCACCAAGGCGACGAUCCGUAGCUGGUCUGAGAGGAUGAUCAGCCACACUGGAACUGAGACACGGUCCAGACUCCUACGGGAGGCAGUAGUGGGGAAUAUUGGACAAUGGGGGCAACCCUGAUCCAGCCAUGCCGCGUGUGUGAAGAAGGCCU
This 401-nucleotide ribosomal RNA is filed under the name uncultured bacterium. Its description in RNAcentral is "bacterial SSU rRNA". It matches the Rfam family "Bacterial small subunit ribosomal RNA", at positions 30 to 417 of the family's 1533-position model. The record is from RNAcentral.